AUUGAACGCUGGCGGAAUGCUUUACACAUGCAAGUCGAGCGGCAGCGCGGGGGCAACCCUGGCGGCGAGCGGCGAACGGGUGAGUAACAUAUCGGAACGUACCCUGUCGUGGGGGAUAACUAUCCGAAAGGAUAGCUAAUACCGCAUACGACCUACGGGUGAAAGUGGGGAACCUUCGGGCCUCACGCGAUGAGAUGAGCCGAUGCCGGAUUAGCUAGUUGGCGGGGUAAAGGCCCACCAAGGCGACGAUCCGUAGCUGGUCUGAGAGGAUGAUCAGCCACACUGGAACUGAGACACGGUCCAGACUCCUACGGGAGGCAGCAGUGGGGAAUAUUGGACAAUGGGGGCAACCCUGAUCCAGCCAUGCCGCGUGUGUGAAGAAGGCCUCGGUUGUAAGCACUUUGUU
RNAcentral lists this ribosomal RNA (406 nucleotides) under uncultured bacterium. Its description in RNAcentral is "bacterial SSU rRNA". It matches the Rfam family "Bacterial small subunit ribosomal RNA", at positions 30 to 439 of the family's 1533-position model. The record is from RNAcentral.